GUGUGGAUAUGGAAAAUUUGUUAUGGGAAGAUAAGCUGCCCAUGCCAUUCACUGUUGGAAAAUGUAAAGUAAUGAGGAAUCCUGAGCAUAAGUGUCAUAUUCUUGCAGGCAUGGUGUGUGGAAUUCUCUGCAAAGUAUCCCAUCCUUAUCCCUCAACUCUGAUGUCUCUCUGUAUAUUCACCCUUAUCAUAGAGAUGGGUGUCAGCCAAGUGAUGGAUCCAAACAUCUCAGAACCUUGGAGAGAAGAAAUGGGAAUCAGAACCCAGAUCUGCAUUGUACAUCUGGCUUUUGUCUCGGUAAUGGGCCAAAACAAAACACUGGAUCCAAACGCUGCUUUUUGGAGAGGGGGGCGUGCUUUUGCAUUUUACUACUCAGGCCUAGAUAAUGUACACAAUGAGUCUAUACUCCUAUAUCCAUAUGAUUUAUCAUUUAUGCAGUCCCAUAGCUGUGCAAAGGGAUUAUAUGUAAAACUUCAUCUUUUCCAGGGAUGCUUACCAUUGACAUACUCUGGGCACGUAGCAAUAGUAUGGGAUUUGCUGAGACCUGCAGCAGGUGACGAGUGUUCACUACUCGGUAAAUUCCCAAAUCUGCUUAUUAUAGCUGGGUUUUUUUGUCCUUGCUUCUAGGCAUAUGUUCAAUACAAGCAACAACAAAUCUCACCCCCCCUCAAAAAAAACCCAAACAACCUCCCCAACUUCUACACAAAUAAGUUAUGAACUCAUCUCACUUUUUUGAAUUAUCAGGAUGAAGAUAUUCCCUCCCCUUUAUCUCAGUUACCCCCAUGUUAGCUCACCCCACUGUUUGAAAGACUGGGAGGCACUGUGCUUAGGGUCUGUUGGAAUAAGGGUGGAAAGGCAGAGGCGGAGGGGUCUGAGUGAGAAUACUUUGCCAGUAGCCCCCAGCCCGUUAAACCAAAGCAUAAGCUCAAGUGCAUUUACUGAUCUCAGCUGGUGGUAUUGCAUACACAGCUGGAGGAGUAACGAUAAGAGAGCAAAAGUGGGGCAACAAAACUACCUCUAUGUAUAUCACCUAAGCCCUCUGGGGAUGGAUUUCAGUUCCCUUUCACAUAAUACCAGAUGAAGCAUCAGCGAGAGAAAUUCUUUUAGCCUUUUGAAAAUUCUGUCUAGACACUCUGGGAACGUGGUUCACUUCACUACACCAUAGUUACCCAUAGGACUUAUCAACCAAGAUAAAUCUAUGUCAACAAGAGCAAUAGUAACUUAGGCCAACAACCUUGGCAAUGGCAUUGCAAUUUUUUACUCGUUUUCUGUUUGUUGGGUGUCUCCGUGAAAUCUUAUUGCCUCAGCCCCAUGCUGCAGCCCACUGGUCUGAAUCCUGCCCCCCUAAAAACCUCCCUGUUGAGCAAAAUGCAAAAAUUAAAGACUCAGAAGAGAAAAUGAAUGGUCAUGCACAGUGCUCCUUAGGUCCCAUUUAUCUCACUUUGAUUGGAGCUGAGGUUGUGGAUUCCACAAUGAACUCUGCAGCUUGUAGAUAUUGUUUUGCUCCCAUGGAUAUCGUCUUAGGCUGAGAGACACCCAUUGUUUUUUGUUCAUUGGUCUCAGCUGGUUCAGAUACAUAGAAGCAUAGUUAUAUAGACAUUGCCUUUCUGGAUCAGACUAGUCCAGUCACUUGUCUCGAACAGUGGCCAGAUUCUUCAGAGGAAGGUUCAAAAACCAUCAGAGUGGACAGUUCUGGAAUAAUCUGUCCCUAGGGGAAGUUUCCAUCUAAUCCCAGCCCCUUAGUAGUUGGAUGAGCAUUUAAAUUGUUUAAACUAUCUAAUGUAACAGUGGUGGUUCUCAUUAUCCAUAUAAAUAGCUAAUACUGCAUUGCUCCUGGAAAAGCACAUGAAGGAACAUUGGUAUACACUGGGGUUACGCAGAUUUGUGAGAGUUUUGUUUCCUGUAGCCCAAAACCAUUAGCCAUUUGAUCCUGGACAAUUCACAUAUUAAAGAUAAUGAUAACAGGGCACCUCCACUGGGUUAACACUUUAGGGUUGGGUUUGUACUGUGGGAGUGGUGACCGAGUUGCAAUGCAGUCAUUGUGCAAUGCUUUUGUUUUCAUGAUUUACACUUGUUCACAAAUGUCUGUUAUUGGAAGCAUGGAACCCCAAUUAGCAGUUGAUAUGGAGCAGGAAUCCCUAUUAAGGUUAAACUGGUCAAAGUUUCCCAGUGUUGAGUGAGAAAGAAGAGCUGUUUAAUCACAGGGUAGUAACUAAGCAGAUGCCUUUGUGGUUACUUGAAUUGUGAACUAAGUCAUAAAGACGUUCAUCUAUGAA
This is a long non-coding RNA of Dermochelys coriacea (leatherback sea turtle), 2275 nucleotides long. RefSeq lists it as uncharacterized. The record is from RefSeq and is a predicted model, not a curated record. The transcript is spliced from 2 exons. NCBI's taxonomy places the organism in Eukaryota, Metazoa, Chordata, Testudines, Dermochelyidae.